RNAcentral lists this ribosomal RNA (253 nucleotides) under uncultured bacterium. Its description in RNAcentral is "partial 16S ribosomal RNA". It matches the Rfam family "Bacterial small subunit ribosomal RNA", at positions 524 to 776 of the family's 1533-position model. The record is from RNAcentral.
UACGUAGGGUCCGAGCGUUGUCCGGAAUUACUGGGCGUAAAGAGCUCGUAGGUGGUUUGUCGCGUUGUUCGUGAAAACUCACAGCUUAACUGUGGGCGUGCGGGCGAUACGGGCAGACUUGAGUACUGCAGGGGAGACUGGAAUUCCUGGUGUAGCGGUGGAAUGCGCAGAUAUCAGGAGGAACACCCGUGGCUAAGGCGGCUCUCUAGUACGGUACUGACGCUGAGACGCGAAAGCGUGGGGAGCGAACAGG